Myotis davidii is the source of this 194-nucleotide non-coding RNA. Lineage: Eukaryota; Metazoa; Chordata; Mammalia; Chiroptera; Vespertilionidae. The record is from Rfam.
UUUGCUUUUCAGCCUUUUGGCUAAGAUGAAGUAUAGUACCUGUUCCUAUCAGUGUAAUAUCUGAUACAUACUUGAAGACGACGUGUUAGACAUAUUACAUGGAUUUUUGGAGCAGGAGGUGGAAUAGGAGUUUGCUCAGGCCAUUGCUCGCAUUGACCCGGUAUGGUAGUACUUUUGGGAAUGGUGCACCCCCU